GAAUAUCCUGAGAUAAUUGUGUUGAUGUUCUAGUUUUAGAUUCAAAGACACUGUUACACCUUUCUUUCCAGAUCAUCCACAUUUUUGUUAGAAUUAGUUAUAUAGAUAUCUCCUGUCUUGAAUUUUUAAUCCAUUCCUUAUAGGUGUCUAGUAAGGAAGUAGAGGGAUCCAGUUGUAAAGAGGUAGGGUUAGGAGCCAUUUCCGUAUCCCUCUUUUAACCUUUGGAUGUUAUAUUCGGACUUCUACUUUAUAAUAUCUCACUCAGGGAAAAAUCAAUAGAAAUAACCGGCGCAUCUUCAUCGUUGCACCACCAGCACCAUCUUCGCAUCUGCCACCACCAUCUUCAUCGUUGACAUUAUCAGCUCCGUCACUACCUAAACCACCACCUAUAGCACCACACCCGACUAUAUUCAUUUAGAUACAAAACUAAUCUGGGUAUCAACUAGAAAAUAGGCCUCAAAACUUAGAUCCGGUGAGGAAUCAACGAGAAAAAAAAAUCUUCAACCAGAAAUCAACACCACCACCACCGUUACGAUGACGGCCACCAUCGUUUCAACAAUAACAACUUCCUUUUCCAGAUAAAAAUGGAAACUAAGGUAUGAUUUAGAGAUUUGAAAUUAAAAAUCAAAUCAGAAAAUGAUUUUCAGAUUCAGCAAUUUAGAGUUUAAGGUUUCAAUUUCUGAAAAUUUUUCGAUCUUUGUUGUACAAAUUUAUCAAAAGGAGAUGGAUUCUUCAAAAUCGAUUGUGUAUUGGUGAUUUUUACAUUACAAAGGUCAGAUUCAGAUCAUGAGGUGGAGUUUCAAGACAAAAAUCAAGUGCAGAAUGGGUUCUCAGGUAGCAGAUUCAAAUAAGGUUAAAUGGAUUUGUGUGGUGGAUGUAUAGGGCUCAGUUAUGAGAUGGAAGUUGCUGGAGGUAUUUGGUGGUCAAAUGGGUGUUGAUUUAUUUGGUUUUGAGUUCGAGUUGGUGGUGUUCUGUGUGAUUUUUGGGAUCACAAAAAAAAAGAAGGAAUAAGAUGUUGCUGCUAUGGUUGCGAGAUUGAGACUCACAGAGAACCAGAUAUGGUUUGAAUGAGGGAAAAUGGUGUUCAUGGAUGCAGCAAUUUCUUUAUCUCACAUUUCUUUACAGGCAACAACAACAUGAAGAAGGAGAGAUACAAUAGAAGGCUUGUACUAAUUGUUCGAAUUGAUUGGCAGGAAGGAAUAUAUAGAUGUGUAUUGACUGUGUCGCGGCCAUGGUUGAUCAUUGGCUUCUAUUUACUAUUGUUGUGUACGAAUGGCUUGUAUUGGAGAAUGUUUGGUAUCGUGGGUGUGCUGGGAACUUUGGUGGUGGUGGGUAUUGGUGUUGCGUGUGUAGUAGUGUUGAUUGGAUUAGUUCUUGCUUUGGUUGUAAUUGGUGAUGGAAUAAGUGGAAUUGGUGGGGGUAUGAAGUUGGUGUGCGUGUAAUUGGUAAUUUUGCUUGCCGAGUACGUGAAUCAGAAGUUUUGAGUUAUGCCGCAAUGCUUAGAGAGUUCUCCUGCCGAAAUGAUCCCGAAGGAGUCAUAAGACUAUAUGAGGGUCAGCCUGCAGUGAUUAUGUGAAAGCCUUAGUCAAAGUGGAUAGGCUGGAUGAAACUGAAUUGCUCAAGACAUUGCAACGAGAUCUUUCAGCCAUUUCCUUACUAGCUCAUGACGGGUUCUGAUGCUUUUUGCCCCAUUUUUGAAGGUGGAAAUUGUAGAGAUAUACUUAAUAUGAUUAUCUUGCAGUCUUGGGUGAAUCGGUAUUGUUUUAUUAUCAGUUUACAUAUUGAUUUGGUUUAGUUGUUUCAUGAAACGUAUCAAAUAUUUUUUACAUAUUUUGGUUUAGUUGUUACAUUUAGUAGUUGAAACUUAUUUUGGUUAAUAUACGUCCUGCGUUUAUUCAUUUGCCGAGUUCACCGGUGUUUGCUACGAAUGAUAACUUCAGUAGUAUAACAACAUUGGAAUUAAAGCUUAUGCGAAACUCAAUGUUCAUUUGCUGGUAUUAUCAGACACCAUUUAGUAAUCUUGGAAGUUGGAACCUGACUUGGAUAUUGGGUGCUAAGACAGCUAAUUACUCUGAGAUACAACAGAACUUGGUAAAUACUUACUUGCUAGCAGUUCUGUCAUCAUGUCUGUUGCUGUCUUCAGGGUCCGGAUAUUUAUGUGUGAUGAACUUGUGGUGCAAUGGUAGCGCGACUGACUCCGUGUAAGAAAAUGUGUGUUCGAAUCACGCCAGGUUUACUCAUUUUUUUAACACUUUGGAGACAACUUGUGUUAGUUGGUUUCAAAUUUGGAGACAACUUGAACAAGUUGUUUCUAUAUUUGAAGACAACUUGGGCUAGUUGGCUUCAGUUUUAUAGCAACUUGUCCCUAUAUAGAUUUGCUUUUAUGGACAACUUGUGCUAGUUGCCUCCAUAUUUGGAGACACCUUGAGCUAGUUGGUUCUAGAUUGGAGACAACUUGGUACAGGUUUGUUUUUGUAGACAAUUUGUGCUAGUUGCCUCCAUAUUUGGAGACAACUUGAGCAAGUUGGUUCUAGAUUGGAGACAACUUGGGCUAGUUGUCUCAGAUUCAGAGACAAUUUGAGUUAGUUGGUUCCAUUUUGUUUUGCAAUUUUUUUUUCUGUACACUAUUUGUUGGAGACAACUUGAGCUAGUUGCCUCUCUGAUAUGGACACAACUUCAGCAAGUUGACUCCACAUGGCGGUGGUAGUUGGCGGCGGUGGUGGUAGUUGGCGGCGGUGAUGGUGGUUGACGGCGGCGGUGGGUGGUGGAUACGAGGAAAGUGGUGGUGGUCUGCGAUGGUGGUGGCUAAUGGUCGGCGGUGGCGGAAAGUGGUUGUUGACGGUGGCGGAAAAUGGUGGCGGCGGUGGU
Molecule: long non-coding RNA, 2868 nt
Organism: Papaver somniferum (opium poppy)
Lineage: Eukaryota; Viridiplantae; Streptophyta; Magnoliopsida; Ranunculales; Papaveraceae
Exons: 3
Source: RefSeq, a predicted model, not a curated record